GGGGAUGAAAGGCCUCGACAUUGGUUCUUUUUACAAUUGACGCUGAGAGUGGAUGGUUGUUAACCACUUUAAUUUCUCGACUAAAUCUUGUAACUGGCAAUCAAAAUACCAAUUACGCUUUCGCCUAAUUCAACCAGCUUAGCUGGUCAAGGUUAAGUAGGAAGCCAUUCUACCGCGAUGCUCGCUAGCGGAUUCUGGAGUGUCAUAAGCGAACUUUAGCAGAACCGUUGUCCUUCCGAAUUCUGCCGAAAAAUUGUAAGGGCUAGUGGGCGUUUAUUUUGUUCAUUUUUUAACCGCUCGCGAAAUAUCAAAUGCGCUACCUCAGUACACGUCAUUGUAAUAAACCUUUGGACGGCGGUUCAACUCCGCCCAUCUCCACCG
This 381-nucleotide transfer-messenger RNA is filed under the name Candidatus Yanofskybacteria bacterium RIFCSPHIGHO2_01_FULL_41_21. It matches the Rfam family "transfer-messenger RNA". From Rfam's summary of the family: Bacterial tmRNA, also known as 10Sa RNA or SsrA, is named for its dual tRNA and mRNA-like properties. The record is from RNAcentral. RNAcentral also lists the same sequence under 1 other name. Lineage: Bacteria; Candidatus Yanofskyibacteriota.